Caenorhabditis elegans is the source of this 160-nucleotide non-coding RNA. NCBI's taxonomy places the organism in Eukaryota, Metazoa, Nematoda, Chromadorea, Rhabditida, Rhabditidae. The record is from Ensembl.
UUCUCUUGCAACAUUGUCCAUUUCCACACGGAGAAUAGUUUUGCUGGCAAGAGCAGGAGUUGACUGAUUGAGUGAGGCAUGGCAUCUGGACUAGUUGAGCAGUAGAGCACGAUUGAUAGCAUGAUUGGGUGCAUGCUGGAGCACAUUGCUGCAUUGGUUG